GUUAAUGUAAGACAUUUGGCAGCUGUACACUAUUUAGGCUAAAAGAGCCAUCAUUGCUUUUAACUGCUAGCCAAACUAAAGACAGCACGACGAUUGCUAGCUAACACAGCUCUCAGAACAUUCUAGGUCUAACAGCUACGUAAAGCAAUUGUAACGAUCGUCUGGAAGAGGGGACCAAGAUGCAGCGUGGCCGGUGGUACCUGGUCCACUGCAGGACGCUGAGGUGCGGGAGGUCCCUCCGCCCCCCCUGGACAUCGGGGGGGGCCCCGGCGUACACAGUCCGGGCCAUCCUGGACUCCCGACGUCAGGCAGAGCAGGCAACAGAUGGCACACAGACAGCAGAGUUGGGGACAGAUAUGCAGGGACA
Molecule: long non-coding RNA, 367 nt
Filed under: Salmo salar (Atlantic salmon)
Lineage: Eukaryota; Metazoa; Chordata; Actinopteri; Salmoniformes; Salmonidae
Description: lncRNA (ENSSSAG00000121500.1)
Source: RNAcentral